AUGAGUUCUUCGUCAUCUUCAUCUGGCGACGAUGAACUCAUACUUGCAGCAUUCGCCGAGCGGGAGGAGGAAGAGAGGAAGAACGGUCGACGCCAUGGCGGUUCCAAGCAUGGACGUCAGUCAAUCGAUCGAGGAAGAGAUGCCGGAUUUCUUCUUCUGUGGGACGACUACUUCAAAGAAGUUCCUCGCUUUCCCGAACAUUUGUUUCGACGAAGAUUUAGGAUGUCGCUUACUUUGUUCAACCGCAUAGCUGAUGGUAUACUUGAGCAUGACUAUGAUGAUUAUUUUACGCAAAAAAGAAGUGCUUCUGGAGCUCUUGGGUUACAUCCUUUACAAAAGAUGACCGCGGCGAUGAUGAUUCCCUGUCUGUGUUGUAGUACUCUGAAAUUCUAUCCCAAUAAGCAUCCCGGUUUUGAUCUGUCCCAACAAUAUCCAAACUUGUAUUUGCCCAUGCUGCUAUGA
This 462-nucleotide ribosomal RNA is filed under the name Triticum aestivum (bread wheat). RNAcentral's name for it is "partial small subunit ribosomal RNA". Lineage: Eukaryota; Viridiplantae; Streptophyta; Magnoliopsida; Poales; Poaceae. The record is from RNAcentral.